This 376-nucleotide long non-coding RNA is filed under the name Salvia miltiorrhiza (redroot sage). RNAcentral's name for it is "long non-coding RNA (SMIL_LNC011259)". Lineage: Eukaryota; Viridiplantae; Streptophyta; Magnoliopsida; Lamiales; Lamiaceae. The record is from RNAcentral.
UAGUGCUGCUAUCACGACUAACAUUCUUAAGACAUUAUUGGGUGGUUCUCAAACGAUUUGUAAAAGAACUCAUCAUUCUAAUCAUAUAGGCAGUGAACCUAAAAUGAUAACAUAAAGCUUUCUCAUCAUUCAUUCAUACAUACAUACAUACAUAUAUUUGCUUUCUUUGAAAUUUUGAGUCAUAUGGACAUUAAAUGUCCCUUUCAUGAAAAACUUUGCUUAUGCCGGAAAGAUUCAAGGAAUCUAACUCGACCAUACAUACAUACAUACAUUGAUUCGUUAAGGGCUCGGGUUGUCCCAAACACGAAAUACAUUCAUUGAGUCGUUAUGGGUUCGGGUAGUCCCAAACACGACAAAAAGCAUUCACAUAGCAUCG